UCCGGUUGAUCUGCCGGAGGCGACCGCUUUUGGAGUUCGAUUAAGCCAUGCGAGUCGCGAGCCUUAGGGGCUCGGCAUACUGCUCAGUAACACGUGGAUAACCUGCCCUAUUGUCUGGAAUAACCUCGGGAAACUGAGAACAAGGCCGGAUAGCCCACAAUGCCUGGAACGGUUUGUGGGUGAAGCAUACAGUAGGAUGGGUCUGCGGCGUAUCAGGUUGUAGGGGGUGUAAUGGACCUCCUAGCCAUCGACGCGUACGGGUGUUGGGAGACAUAGCCCGGAGAUGGAUUCUGAGACACGAAUCCAGACCCUACGGGGUGCAGCAGGCGCGAAAACUUCACACUGCAGGAAACUGUGAUGAGGGAACUCCAAGUGCUAUCACUAUGUGGUAGCUUUUCUUGACUAUUAAUCGGUCAUGGAAUAAGGGCUGGGAAAGACCGGUGCCAGCCGCCGCGGUAAUACCGGCAGCUCAAGUGGUCGUCGCUUUUAUUGGGCCUAAAACGUCCGUAGCCUGUUUGGUAAAUCUGUGGGUAAAUCAACCAGCUUGACUGGUUGACUUCUGCAGAGACUGCCAGACUAGGGACCGGGAGAGGUGUGGGGUACUCUAGGGGUAGGGGUACAAUCCUGUCAUC
Molecule: ribosomal RNA, 632 nt
Filed under: uncultured archaeon
Lineage: Archaea
Description: bacterial SSU rRNA
Rfam family: Archaeal small subunit ribosomal RNA
Source: RNAcentral